This 276-nucleotide ribosomal RNA is filed under the name Cylindrospermopsis raciborskii S14. Its description in RNAcentral is "partial 23S ribosomal RNA". It matches the Rfam family "Bacterial large subunit ribosomal RNA", at positions 1 to 288 of the family's 2925-position model. Lineage: Bacteria; Bacillati; Cyanobacteriota; Cyanophyceae; Nostocales; Aphanizomenonaceae. The record is from RNAcentral.
GUGGUCAAGCUAAUAAGGGCUCAUGGUGGAUACCUAGGCACACAGAGGCGAAGAAGGACGUGGUUACCUGCGAAAAGUUCCGGGGAGUUGGAAGCAAACAGAGAGCCGGAAAUAUCCGAAUGGGGCAACCCUGAACACUGCCUGUUGAAUAUAUAGACAGGAAAGAGCGAACCUGGCGAAUUGAAACAUCUUAGUAGCCAGAGGAAAAGAAAUCAAAAGAGAUUCCCCGAGUAGUGGUGAGCGAAAGGGGAAGAGCCUAAACCAAGGGGUAUACCU